This 253-nucleotide ribosomal RNA is filed under the name uncultured bacterium. Its description in RNAcentral is "partial 16S ribosomal RNA". It matches the Rfam family "Bacterial small subunit ribosomal RNA", at positions 524 to 776 of the family's 1533-position model. The record is from RNAcentral.
UACGGAGGGUGCGAGCGUUAAUCGGAAUUACUGGGCGUAAAGGGUGCGUAGGUGGUUGAAUAAGUUAUCUGUGAAAUUCCUGGGCUUAACCUGGGCAGGUCAGAUGAUACUGUUUAACUCGAGUAUGGGAGAGGGUAGUGGAAUUUCCGGUGUAGCGGUGAAAUGCGUAGAGAUCGGAAGGAACACCAGUGGCGAAGGCGGCUACCUGGCCUAAUACUGACACUGAGGCACGAAAGCGUGGGGAGCAAACAGG